GGGAGUCUCUGGGUGCUGUUUCUGUUGUUACAGAGUAUUGCUUUGAGUCUCUCUCUGAGUAGUUGUUACAAAUAAUUGCUUUGAGAACUGACUCUGUCUUAGAAUGUACUAACACAAUUAGCAGCUUGCAAGUUUCACACAGAGAGGGAGAGAAACAGUA
Chelonia mydas (Green sea turtle) is the source of this 160-nucleotide long non-coding RNA. RefSeq lists it as uncharacterized. The record is from RefSeq and is a predicted model, not a curated record. The transcript has 2 exons. Lineage: Eukaryota; Metazoa; Chordata; Testudines; Cheloniidae.